RNAcentral lists this ribosomal RNA (482 nucleotides) under uncultured bacterium. RNAcentral describes it as "partial 16S ribosomal RNA". It matches the Rfam family "Bacterial small subunit ribosomal RNA", at positions 30 to 507 of the family's 1533-position model. The record is from RNAcentral.
AUUGAACGCUGGCGGCAUGCUUUACACAUGCAAGUCGAACGGUAACAGCACUUCGGUGGCUGACGAGUGGCGAACGGGUGAGUAAUACAUCGGAACGUGCCUAGUAGUGGGGGAUAACUACUCGAAAGAGUAGCUAAUACCGCAUGAGAUCUAAGGAUGAAAGCAGGGGACCUUCGGGCCUUGCGCUACUAGAGCGGCUGAUGGCAGAUUAGGUAGUUGGUGGGAUAAAAGCUUACCAAGCCGACGAUCUGUAGCUGGUCUGAGAGGACGACCAGCCACACUGGGACUGAGACACGCCCCAGACUCCUACGGGAGGCAGCAGUGGGGAAUUUUGGACAAUGGGCGCAAGCCUGAUCCAGCAAUGCCGCGUGCAGGAUGAAGGCCUUCGGGUUGUAAACUGCUUUUGUACGGAACGAAAAGCCCUCUUCUAAUACAGGAGGGUCAUGACGGUACCGGAAGAAUAAGCACCGGCUAACUACGUG